This is a long non-coding RNA of Oncorhynchus tshawytscha (Chinook salmon), 380 nucleotides long. NCBI's taxonomy places the organism in Eukaryota, Metazoa, Chordata, Actinopteri, Salmoniformes, Salmonidae. The record is from Ensembl.
UGAUAAUGGACUAGUGAUAAGAGUAUCAGGUUUAGAUACAGUGCAAUAUACAGAGAGCAUGAUCACUUUUCACAGUGAGUCACUACUUUGAAGACAUGCAACAACCUUAUCCCAUUUCAUUUUGACUGUUAUCUGCAUCAGGCACUCUAUCCAACGCAGCAGUUACUACUAUCCAACCACUAUCAAAUACAGCCAGUGCAUCCCAACCAGCCAACACAGCCACUUCAUCCAGUGCAACCACACCAUCCUGUUUGACCCGUCGAUGUCUGGCCAGCAUGCUGAUUGCGAAAGAAGCUCGGAGUCCGCCACAGUCUCCACGGUGCAUCUCAAUUAUCCGUGUGCCGUCAAUCGUGUACGAAACUCUGUCUGUCGUAAGUCCC